AAGUCGUAACAAGGUUUCCGUAGCUGAACCUGCGGAAGGAUCAUUAACACGUAUCCAAACGUUAAAACCCCCCCCCCGUGAACAUUCAUCCUGCUCUUGUAACCCGCGAAGCUUGCAAUCUCUGGUAAAUAGAGACCUCUGGCCCGUGCGAAUAUUGGAACAGUUACAAUUUUGAGCGGUAGUUCUAUAGGCCUUGUUUCCCCAAGCAGUCAGUGUCUGAAAGUGUCAUUGAUUGUGCAAGGAUAACGCUUCACGAUUCUUGUAGACCGCAUCUCGCGGGCAGGAGCUAGGCCAAAGGGUCCCCAUGCCCCCUUACAACCCCACAGUUUAAUGUGAAGCUCAAUGUAAUACAUUGGGUAAAAAAACCGAACAACUGUUAACAAUGGAUAUCUUGGUUCUC
This 400-nucleotide unclassified non-coding RNA is filed under the name fungal sp. Its description in RNAcentral is "partial internal transcribed spacer region". The stretch from base 1 to 46 matches the Rfam family "Eukaryotic small subunit ribosomal RNA", at positions 1786 to 1831 of the family's 1831-position model. The record is from RNAcentral. Lineage: Eukaryota; Fungi.